Molecule: transfer RNA, 72 nt
Organism: Hypsibius dujardini
Lineage: Eukaryota; Metazoa; Tardigrada; Eutardigrada; Parachela; Hypsibiidae
Rfam family: tRNA
About the family: Transfer RNA (tRNA) molecules are approximately 80 nucleotides in length. Their secondary structure includes four short double-helical elements and three loops (D, anti-codon, and T loops).
Source: Rfam
GGGGAUGUAGCUCAGUGGUAGAGCGUGUGCUUCGCAUGUACAAUGUCCAGGGUUCAAUCCCCUGCCUCUCCA